Podarcis raffonei (Aeolian wall lizard) is the source of this 536-nucleotide long non-coding RNA. RefSeq lists it as uncharacterized. NCBI's taxonomy places the organism in Eukaryota, Metazoa, Chordata, Lepidosauria, Squamata, Lacertidae. The record is from RefSeq and is a predicted model, not a curated record. The transcript is spliced from 2 exons.
AGCCAGUUGCAGCAGGAGUAGGAGACUCCCUGUCUGAUCUUUGUCUCUUGCCCUCCCCCCGCUCUCCAGUCUCCACUUCUGCCUCUGAUUCUAGACUGCUCUCUGCCACAGACUCUCCCUGCUCACUAAACCCUGUUACCGCUUCAGCUUUUGAUACCUACUCCUCCCAGUUCUCGCUCUGACCACCCAUUAUUGUCUCACCACAACUCCCUGGCCUCUGAGCCUUCUUUCCUUGGGGCUUUAAAUGAUGAGAGGAAAAGAACCCCUAUACACCACCACCUUGAGCAACCUGGAGAAAAAGGCAGGGGAGGAAUUUUGGCAUCACACAGGGUAUCACUAAAAUAUGAGACCCCAAGACUGCCACUCCACCUCGGGUGGCCAGUGAUGCGUUGUGGAAAAGAGGAAAUGCACCAUCGCCAUCAAAAAAGAGGGAAGAAAAUAAACAGAAAACUACGUAUGUUCAUCUCAAUUUACAGAUCAGCUUUUUGAAAGAGCAGCUAUGAAAUAUAAUCCAUCUCACCAUAGUGAGGAAGGUG